GUCCCAAACCCGAUUCAGCUAUGGUCAACUCCAUUUCAGGUCAAGAAAAUCCUUCAAACUUCAACACCAGUAUCGCGCCUAAUCCGAUGGUUCCUCAGUUCCAUCACCGCAGAACAAACAAAACGGCGGUUUUCCAUCUCACCGCCGUGAUUCUUCAUCACCUGAAAUGGAUCUCCUAGCGUGUUCUUGAAAGCUCCACACACUGCUUCAUCUCCAAGUCCUCAACCUUCUUCCAAGCUUGUGGAUUCAUGGAUUUAGAGGGGGAGCGAAGCAAAAACAGGAUUCUCACAUCAAAUUGGUUUUGAAAUCCUAUAUCAACGGCUCAAAUCAUCAUUGCACGUGUGUGAAAACAAGAAGAACAUGAAUUAAAGUCGAAACCAGAACUUACCGGAUUUGCUGCAAACAGGUGUCGAAGGCUGUUUCUCUCUUGUUUUGAUUGACCUUCAAUCUAAUCUUCCAUCUUCUUCUGUUCUUGAUGUAGAGUGGUUGUGCAGAAUGAGGUCGAUGCAGAAGAUUUCUAAACUCAAUGCGAAAGAUUGCCGAGAACUUGAUGCAGAAGGUUCAGAGCUUGAUACGGGAACGAGAUUGAUGAACUUGGUACCGAAAGAUUGAGAACUCGCGCAUUGAGAUAUGAACUUGAUGCAGAAGAUUGCAGAGUAAGGUCGAGAAUCUGCAGAAUGCAGCAGAUGAAAAAUAGAGUCCAAAAGAUUGGAGUGUGAGGAAUGUGGGAUAGUUUCUCAUUUUCGGCUAGUUAUUUCGGGAAGUGUAACCUGUGGAUUUCCCACCUUGUUGACAUAUAUGUGAGAGAACCAAGAUUUGAACGUGAGUUGCAUGAUUCUGAUUCCUUCAAAUUAAUGUCGUUCGUUUUGAACGUGAGUGCAGUUAUAACUUAUUGCUUAUGAUAAAUGGAAGUUGUUGUUAAAGUUGCAGGUUGAUGUUAGCAUGAGCAGAAACUACGACUUUCACUUGGAAAGCAUGGCUCAUGGUUUGUAGGCUCGAUGGUCAAAAUGCGACUUUGUGAAUUCUGGACUGAACUGCACUUGGACAUUGCGAACUUGCCAUGAAUAGGCAUGCUGCUGGUUGGAAACGAACUGGUUCGGUUAUGCCGAUAAGAGCAGUAUCGAAUGAGUUCUGUUAUGAUAUUUUUUAGUGAGGCUCAACUUGUUAGCAGUUACAAUUGAAUGGAAUCAUGAACUGUUAAAAAAAACCUUGUUAUUGUUAACUCUUCCAAGCUGCCAAAUGAGUAAUCAAAAGAAAGUCCAUUGCAAUGCAGGUGAAAAGAUUGUAUGAGCAGGUUGUACGGUUUGCACUUAGGUCUGGUUUUGCCGGUCCUGGAAUUGUUUGGCUAAAAUCCAGUAUGAAGACUUGUCGGUGCAGUUAUUUGCAAGAUGAAACUUGGUGUGAACUGCUGCCAAAUGCACAUGUUGUUGGUGCAGGUUCAAUAUUUACAUUGCAAUUGUUGAUGAUGGAAGCUUGAAUUCCGAGGUGCUAUGUAUUACGAUGAUGGGUGGAAGUCCGUUGUUGCAGCCAGUUUUGAACUAUGUUGCUAAAGGCUUACGAUGACGAAACAGGCGUGUAUCAAAGAUCAGGUUAAUUUUUGGUUUUUGAACCUUGGUUGGUCAAUGCUAGCUAGUGACUUGUCAUUGUGAAUCAUAGGCCACGAAGCGUAGGUUCCGAAAUCGGAUGUAUAUAAUUUAUGUUAUGCAUUUGGAAUGCAAUUUGGAACUUGGUUGAAUAGGUUUUUAGGUGGUAUUUAUGGUUAAAGUCAUGUAGGAUAAGUCAUGUGUAUGGUUGUAUGUACUUUGGAGUUGAAAUAUUGUAAGUUGAAUUUGGUUUGAAAUGUAUAUAGAUAUCAUAACUUUGGAUUGAAGUUGUGAAUUGCUUUUGAAAUGGCUUCAA
Long non-coding RNA from Lathyrus oleraceus (garden pea), 1899 nucleotides. RefSeq lists it as uncharacterized. The transcript is spliced from 4 exons. The record is from RefSeq and is a predicted model, not a curated record. NCBI's taxonomy places the organism in Eukaryota, Viridiplantae, Streptophyta, Magnoliopsida, Fabales, Fabaceae.